AGCAGCCGCGGUAAUUCCAGCUCCAAUAGCGUAUAUUAAAGUUGUUGCAGUUAAAAAGCUCGUAGUUGAAUUUCGGGGUUAGUAGGUUGGUCAUGCCUCUGGUAUGUACUGGUCUCACUGAUUCCUCCUUCCUGAUGAGCCGUAAUGCCAUUAAUUUGGUGUUGCGGGGAAUUUGGACUGUUACUUUGAAAAAAUUAGAGUGUUUAAAGCAAGCUAACGCUUGAAUACAUUAGCAUGGAAUAAUGAAAUAGGACGUUCGAUCCUAUUUUGUUGGUUUCUAGGAUUGACGUAAUGAUUAAUAGGGAUAGUUGGGGGCAUUAGUAUUCAAUUGUCAGAGGUGAAAUUCUUGGAUUUAUUGAAGACUAACUACUGCGAAAGCAUUUGCCAAGGAUGUUUUCAUUAAUCAAGAACGAAAGUUAGGGGAUCGAAGACGAUCAGAUACCGUAGUAG
RNAcentral lists this ribosomal RNA (450 nucleotides) under uncultured Glomeromycotina. RNAcentral describes it as "SSU rRNA". It matches the Rfam family "Eukaryotic small subunit ribosomal RNA", at positions 569 to 1023 of the family's 1831-position model. Lineage: Eukaryota; Fungi; Glomeromycota. The record is from RNAcentral.